Molecule: ribosomal RNA, 253 nt
Filed under: uncultured bacterium
Lineage: Bacteria
Description: partial 16S ribosomal RNA
Rfam family: Bacterial small subunit ribosomal RNA
Source: RNAcentral
UACGUGGGGGGCAAGCGUUGUUCGGAUUUACUGGGCGUAAAGGGCGCGUAGGCGGCGUGUUAAGUCAGCUGUGAAAUCUCCAAGCUUAACUUGGAACGGUCAGCUGAUACUGAUGUGCUAGAGUGCAGAAAGGGCAAUCGGAAUUCUUGGUGUAGCGGUGAAAUGCGUAGAUAUCAAGAGGAACACCUGAGGCGAAGGCAGGUUGCUAGGCUGACACUGACGCUGAGGCGCGAAAGCUAGGGUAGCAAACGGG